UACAGAGGGUGCAAGCGUUGUUCGGAAUUAUUGGGCGUAAAGCGCGCGUAGGCGGCUUCGUAAGUCCGUUGUGAAAGUCAAAGGCUCAACCUUUGAAUGCCGAUGGAUACUGCGAAGCUAGAGUACGGAAGAGGCGAGUGGAAUUCCUGGUGUAGCGGUGGAAUGCGCAGAUAUCAGGAGGAACACCAAUAGCGAAGGCAGCUCGCUGGGACGUUACUGACACUAAGGCGCGAAAGCGUGGGGAGCAAACAGG
RNAcentral lists this ribosomal RNA (253 nucleotides) under uncultured bacterium. RNAcentral's name for it is "partial 16S ribosomal RNA". It matches the Rfam family "Bacterial small subunit ribosomal RNA", at positions 524 to 776 of the family's 1533-position model. The record is from RNAcentral.